GAUGAAGAACGUAGCGAAAUGCGAUAAGUAAUGUGAAUUGCAGAAUUCCGUGAAUCAUCGAAUCUUUGAACGCACCUUGCACCCUUUGGCAUUCCGAAGGGUAUGCUCGUUUGAGUGUCAUUGUACUCUCACACUUCCGAUCUUUGGAUUGGGAGCGGUGGACUUGGGUGUUGCUGCUUACUGUGGCUCACCUCAAAUCGAUUCGUGCACCUCUUGGUUGGACAUAGUACGGCGUGAUAAGUGUCUUCGCCGGCACCUCAGUAGAGGGUGGCUGAUCGGGAGCUCUGCUUCAAACCGUCCUCGGACAACAACUGACAACUUGACCUCAAAUCGAGUAGGACUACCCGCUGAACUUAAGCAUAUCAAUAAGCGGAGGA
This 377-nucleotide unclassified non-coding RNA is filed under the name soil metagenome. RNAcentral's name for it is "partial contains 5.8S ribosomal RNA, internal transcribed spacer 2, and large subunit ribosomal RNA". The stretch from base 1 to 120 matches the Rfam family "5.8S ribosomal RNA", at positions 35 to 154 of the family's 154-position model. The record is from RNAcentral.